UCUUUACAUCGGCGCUUCACCUUCUUCAACUCAUCUUCCAUAGACUGGUAGUCACGAAGACGAGACAGGGAAGAGAGGCGGCCCUGAAACAAAUAAGCGAGCUGCAAAAAGAAAGAACGAGUAAGAACAUACUCAUAAAAAUAGUAAAACAAAAGUACUUACGUUGCUCAGGUUCUGUCCGAUUUCUUCGACAGUCCGGUCCAUCGGAUACCCAGAUAUAGCCCGCAACGUGGUUCGGGCGGCAUCCGUGUCAGCAACCAGCGGGAACUUGGUCCCGUAAUUCCGGGGGUGGGAACCUUGGUAACCCGGCAAUUGUGUCUCCCGGGUAGAAGAAUAUGUGUACCGACCCCGGGAGGACUCCCCAGUAUAAUAUCUCCCAC
Molecule: long non-coding RNA, 380 nt
Filed under: Zostera marina
Lineage: Eukaryota; Viridiplantae; Streptophyta; Magnoliopsida; Alismatales; Zosteraceae
Description: long non-coding RNA (ZMAR_LNC003954)
Source: RNAcentral